GCUACACAUGCAGUCGACGAGAAGUUCCUUCGGGAAUGAGUAAAGUGGCGCACGGGUGAGUAACACGUGAAUAAUCUGCCUUCGAGACUGGGAUAACUUGACGAAAGUUAAGCUAAUACCGGAUAAGACCACGCUUCAUAAGGAGUGCGGCAAAAGGGAUCUCAAAUCCUGCUUGAAGAUGAGUUCGCGUACCAUUAGCUUGUUGGUGAGAUAACAGCUCACCAAGGCGACGAUGGUUAGCCGGCCUGAGAGGGUGAUCGGCCACACUGGAACUGAGACACGGUCCAGACUCCUACGGGAGGCAGCAGUGGGGAAUCUUGCGCAAUGGGCGAAAGCCUGACGCAGCAACGCCGCGUGAGCGAUGAAGGCCUUCGGGUCGUAAAGCUCUGUCAAGUGGGAAGAACACAAUGACGGUACCACUAGAGGAAGCCCCGGCUAACUUCGUGCCAGCAGCCGCGGUAAUACGAAGGGGGCAAGCGUUGUUCGGAAUUACUGGACGUAAAGCGUACGUAGGCUGUUUAUCAAGUCAAAUGUGAAAGCCCUGGGCUCAACCUGGGAACUGCAUAUGAAACUAGUAAACUAGAGUAUGGUAGAGGAUGGUGGAAUUCCAGGUGUAGCGGUGAAAUGCGUAGAGAUCUGGAGGAACAUCAGUGGCGAAGGCGGCCAUCUGGACCAAUACUGACGCUGAGGUACGAAAGCGUGGGUAGCAAACAGGAUUAGAUACCCUGGUAGUCCACGCCGUAAACGAUGUCAACUAGCCGUUGGAUCCAUAUAAUGUUUGCUACACAUGCUAACG
RNAcentral lists this ribosomal RNA (796 nucleotides) under uncultured Desulfobacterales bacterium. RNAcentral describes it as "bacterial SSU rRNA". It matches the Rfam family "Bacterial small subunit ribosomal RNA", at positions 48 to 857 of the family's 1533-position model. Lineage: Bacteria; Pseudomonadati; Thermodesulfobacteriota; Desulfobacteria; Desulfobacterales. The record is from RNAcentral.